Molecule: long non-coding RNA, 1778 nt
Organism: Clupea harengus (Atlantic herring)
Lineage: Eukaryota; Metazoa; Chordata; Actinopteri; Clupeiformes; Clupeidae
Source: RefSeq, a predicted model, not a curated record
GAGUCUGACGGCGGCUACUGACGGCGGUGCACGGAUUUCCUCUGUGCCCGGAGUUAAUCACGUUCGUGAGUUACCAGCUGGUUUUGUUUUGCUGCGCAUUGCGUGAAAAGGCCAAUUUACGUUUUAAAGGCCACAACGCCCACAAGCAACAACAUCAGGCGCCCCAUGGCAAGACGCCGACUGGGAAGCUGCCCCUGUCGCCCAUACCUAGAUCUGCCACUGGAUGGGAUUGACGAGCUGUUUUGAGUAGACUUUCAUCUGGAGGGACAUCCCUGGCGAGAGUGCCGGCUUGAAUCUGGCCCUUAGGUCCGUACAUGUGUGACGGAACUGACAGUGGAAGCAGAAGACGGUCUGCAGGAGAGAGGAGCAAGUGGUGGGGACCACACACCUGCGGUGAUGUGACUGACAAGCCCCUACUGCAGAAGGGCAUUCCGGACAGCAAAAGUGACCAAUCUGUUCUGCUACAUUGCGUACUUUCGAUCCAAGCGCUGUGUUAUUGCUGAGAGUCUGAGGAUACUGGUUUGAAGGACAAAAUAGGAAGGGAUUGGUUGCGUUUAAUGAUCUAUUUGCAUACUGGAAAAAUCUAUGAACGAAUCUAUGAAUGAAUUAAAUUGGGAUUUGCUGUGUCACUGUUUUAAUCAUUCACUCUCCACUCCACUCCACAAGAAAGUUUCCUAAUUGUCUUCAACAAAACACAUUAAGUCGUAAUUCAAAGAGCAAUUAUCAGAGUGAAACUGUAAACAAAAUAAGAUUUACGAAAAUCCCAGUAACAUUUACUGACAUAUCGUGACACCAUUUAGGCUACGGCUCAGUUUCAUUAAGACAAUCUGGCACAUUUUCCUCUCUACAGUAAUGACCUAACCAGGCCUUACAUGAUAAGAGAGAAAAAUCUUGUUAAUGACAAUACAAGGUAACUAAUUAUCCAUUUUCUUCUACGACAACUGUGGGGUCAUUAUGCUUUCUGCUCAAAGGAUCUUGAAUUUGCACUGUGGAUAUGUUCUUAAAUUAGUCUGUGUUGAAGAAAAUGAAUGUGUUCACCCCACAUUCAACCCUUUUGGCAAGUGCUUGAAGAGUUCAGCUGGCAGCACACAUGCUAAGAGCACUGAGGUCACCGGUUCAAUUUUCUUCAGAUUCACUGACUUGAAAAUUGCCUGCAACUGUCCUACCUUGUUCCAGUUGUUAAUUGCAUUUACUCUGAAACUUACAUUAAGCUGUCAUGGAAAUAGAGAUCUUUGCUGCCAGUGUAAAUAAAUGAGACUGUGAGAACAGAAGCACGACCCUUGUCUUGCCUUGGCUAAUUCUACGCAAAUACCAUUCAACAUAUCAAUUUACUUGAAGUGUUCAGAGUAUUAUGUUAGUUGAAUGUCAAAACAAAUUUCAGUUGUUUACUUGUGAAAGUGGUGUAUAGAAGGACCUGGAGAUCAGUACACCCUAUAGGAUUCUCCUCUCUAAUAAACUUCUCAGAAAAAAAUUAAAUACCCAUGAAGGAUGAAUUAAAGUUUAGAAAUGCCUUUAAAUCUUUCGUAAUGUAAGACACUGUCAUAUUGCACAUCUAUAGCAUUAGCCUGUAAGGUGUAAUACAUUAUAUUAUAUCCUGUGAGUGACCAUGAGAUUCAUGAUCCUACAUUUCCCUCGGAAUAAAUAAAGUAUCCAUCUAUCUAUCUUUCUAUCUGAUCAAUCACCUGCUGUAACUACCAGAAGUAGGCCAGCAUAAUAUCCAAAAUGGUAAUCUUAUCAUGGUAACAAAGGUCAAGCUGAACUAAUCAUAGUAUGGGAAU